Molecule: ribosomal RNA, 510 nt
Filed under: uncultured bacterium
Lineage: Bacteria
Description: bacterial SSU rRNA
Rfam family: Bacterial small subunit ribosomal RNA
Source: RNAcentral
GGAUGAAUGCCCUAUGGGUUGUAAGCUGCUUUUAUACAAGAAGAAACCUCGGUACCUGUACCGACUUGACGGUAUUGUAUGAAUAAGCACCGGCUAACUCCGUGCCAGGAGCUGCGGUAAUACGGAGGGUGCAAGCGUUAUCCGGAUUUAUUAGGUUUAAAGGGUCCGCAGGCGGAAUAUUAAGUCAGUGGUGAAAGCCUACAGCUCAACUGUAGAACUGCCAUUGAAACUGUUAUUCUUGAGUAUGGAUGAAGUGGGCGGAAUAUGUCAUGUAGCGGUGAAAUGCAUGGAUAUGACAUGGAACACCAAUUGCAAAGGCAGCUCACUAAACUAUUACUGAAGCUCAUGGACGAAAGCGUGGGGAGCGAACAGGAUUAGAUACCCUGGUAGUCCACGCCGUAAACGAUGAUCACUAGAUGUUGGCGAUAUAAUGUCAGCGUUCAAGAGAAAUCGAUAAGUGAUCCACCUGGGGAGUACGUUCGCAAGAAUGAAACUCAAAUGAAUUGACGG